CCGGCACGGGUGAGUAACACGUAUCCAACCUGCCGUCUACUCUUGGACAGCCUUCUGAAAGGAAGAUUAAUACAAGAUGGCAUCAUGAGUCCGCAUGUUCACAUGAUUAAAGGUAUUCCGGUAGACGAUGGGGAUGCGUUCCAUUAGAUGGUAGGCGGGGUAACGGCCCACCUAGUCUUCGAUGGAUAGGGGUUCUGAGAGGAAGGUCCCCCACAUUGGAACUGAGACACGGUCCAA
RNAcentral lists this ribosomal RNA (237 nucleotides) under uncultured bacterium. Its description in RNAcentral is "partial 16S ribosomal RNA". It matches the Rfam family "Bacterial small subunit ribosomal RNA", at positions 100 to 334 of the family's 1533-position model. The record is from RNAcentral.